UUUAGUUAAUUAUUAAUUGAUUUUAAUUGAUUAAUUAAUUAGAUUUAAUUGUUCCUUUUGAUUUAAAAAUUCUGAAAAAUAGUUUCGAGCUUUGAAUUAUUUUUCUAAAAUAUGUUCGAGGCUCGUUAAUUGAUUUCAAAUAAUUUUGGACCCGAUCUUGAGCAAUCGGACUUGAUUAUUUAUUCAAAAAUGGAUUCUUUUACCCGUUUUAAUUCCGAAAAAUGUCUAGAAAUUCCAGAAAAUUCCUGAAAAAUCAUUUUUAACCUGAGACUUGAUUUGACAUCAAUUGGGAUGGGAGACCUUAUAUGAAAAAUGUUGUCUGCUAUCUGUUUGAUAUGUUAUGUGCCAAUAGGAGAGUUAGAAAACGGUUUUGCUUAUAACUUUUGAUCGGUAAUUCAGAAUGGAGUGAAACGGAAAAGAGAUUAAAGCUUAUACAGCCUAUUUUAAUAUGACAUAAUAAUAUGGUGG
This 468-nucleotide long non-coding RNA is filed under the name Daucus carota (carrot). RNAcentral's name for it is "long non-coding RNA (DCAR_LNC006708)". The record is from RNAcentral. Lineage: Eukaryota; Viridiplantae; Streptophyta; Magnoliopsida; Apiales; Apiaceae.